RNAcentral lists this ribosomal RNA (440 nucleotides) under uncultured bacterium. RNAcentral describes it as "partial 16S ribosomal RNA". It matches the Rfam family "Bacterial small subunit ribosomal RNA", at positions 338 to 795 of the family's 1533-position model. The record is from RNAcentral.
CCUACGGGUGGCAGCAGUGGGGAAUAUUGCACAAUGGGGGAAACCCUGAUGCAGCGACGCCGCGUGAGCGAAGAAGUAUCUCGGUAUGUAAAGCUCUAUCAGCAGGGAAGAAAAUGACGGUACCUGACUAAGAAGCCCCGGCUAACUACGUGCCAGCAGCCGCGGUAAUACGUAGGGGGCAAGCGUUAUCCGGAUUUACUGGGUGUAAAGGGAGCGUAGACGGGAGUGCAAGUCAGGUGUGAAAUCCCGGGGCUUAACCCCGGAACUGCAUUUGAAACUGUAGGGCUGGAGUGCAGGAGAGGCAGGCGGAAUUCCUAGUGUAGCGGUGAAAUGCGUAGAUAUUAGGAGGAACACCAGUGGCGAAGGCGGCCUGCUGGACGGUAACUGACGGUGAGGCUCGAAAGCGUGGGGAGCAAACAGGAUUAGAUACCCUAGUAGUC